AUUGCUCUGCGUCUUUGCCCCAUUGACUCCUUGUUUUCCAAGCGAAAAUACUACAGGUCUCCCCGCAACCCAAGCCCCCGAGUUUGAUUGCAUCAAGAAACUCGUAGACUUUGGGAUGGAGAAGCCUACAAGUUCCGGCCGUGGAGAGAAGCGGAAACACGAAGGGAAGGAGCAAGCGGAAGAGGAACCGUCAUGGGUCCAAAGUAAGUGCGCUGAGGACGAUUUGCAAGAUCUGGUGAAAAAAUGUCUGCUAUAGCCGAAGGAUCUGAUCCAUUGGCGGAGCGCUUUUGGAGAGAUUUUUCCAUCUGUUGGGAAAUAAGAAAUUAUCCUUUUUACUUCUUUUGUGAGGCAUGGCCUGGCUCUUCCGACUUGUGACUUUCUCCAAGAUCUUUUGUAUUAUUAUGGAAUUCAGAUUCACCAUCUGACCCCGCAAUCAGUCUUGUACAUCGGUGUUUUGUUCACUUUUGCGAAGCUUUCCUCGGAAUUGAGCCAUAUUUCGAAUUAUUUCGGAGUUUGUAUUCUUUGAAUCCUUUUCCCUCUUUGAAAGAAAUGGGAUGCAUUGGCUGUGCGGAUUUACAAUUGCGUCCAGAGAUGGUUGAUAAGUAUCUGGAGUGGCCCGAGAUUCAUGUUGAUCCAAAAUGGAAAGAGGAUUGGUUUUAUAUUGGAAAUCCUUCUUCUCUGCCUGAGUUUUCUCUGAUGCCACCCAUGUACUUUCGCGAGUGGGUGCUGAUGAACAGUGCAAGUAGUGAGGAUCAAGUAGAGGAAUUAUUGGGCCUCAUAUUCUAUCUGCGUGAGAUGAAAGUAACAGCAGCAUCUGUUGUCUUCAACUGGAAACAACGCCAAAUUCAGCCAUUGGAGAAACGAAAAAAUUUUGGUUUCCAGUAUGAGGGUACUGAAGAUAGUUCCCGGUUCUCUACAGAGCCAGUGGAGAGAGUACAAGGGUUGAGGAUAAUUCGAAGCAUAUUUCCAGAUCAACUCAAUGUUCCAUAUGUGCCCACUGUGUUUCGCUCCAGCAAUCCUCCUUCGCAGGUGGAUGUGGGGGUUUUCAAGAGUGAUCCUCCUAUCCCCAGUUCCAUUGAAGCGAAGAACUAGAAGACCUUCCAUACGCCUGUGAUCUUUGAUAUUGAUGAACCAAUAAUUGAAGAAGAUCCAAUAUCAUUAUCUGAUUCUGAGGAAGAUAGUCCAGCGGUAGCUCCAAGGCCCACUGAUGGAAGUUCUGCAGUGCCUUUCGGCAGCGGAGAUAGAGUGCCUGCAGAAUCUUCAACAUUGAGGGCUUCUGAUGCGGGCGAUCCUCGCCCAACUGCAAGUGAUACUGCAGCUGCCACUGUCGUUACCUCUGCGGUGCCUACCUCAAUACCUAUGACUGGUCCAAAUCCAGUGCGUAGGGUACUGCGAGUACCGAUGAAACUUGUCAUGAAGCGGGCAAAGAUGACUGCUGCUGAACUGAAUCUGCCAAAUCUGCAGCCUGUUGGUGCUCAAACGAAGGCUUCAGCCCCCGAGUCAUCGAAAGGUACCCCCGAGUCAUCGAAAGGUACUCAGGGUGAGGCCAUACCGGACGCCCCCCCACCUCCAGCCGUGACCGAGGUAGCGAGUACUGGGGAAGAUGAAAGGAGCGAAACUGCUCAAUCUGCGGAACCAUCCAGUUGUUUGGGUUCACCUCCCCUGAGCUCUAUUCUGUUGAACGCUUCAACGCCUGGUGCCACUUCUUCUGAACAUGUGAAUGAAAUCCCCAUUGGACUAAUCGAAGAUGAUCUUCUUAGAGCUGACUUGUGCAAUGAUGUGGCGAACUCACUGCAUUGAGUUUACAAGCAUUAUAAGAAAGUAGUCCUGCGAUCCAGGUUGAAGUCUUCCAUCCUGGCUGUGAAGUCUAAAGGACUCUGGCAGAUUCCUAUGCUAAACAGGAACUUGCUGAAAAAGAUGCUAUCAUUGAAGAUUUUAGAAGGCAGCUGUCUGCUGUUCGAGCAGGUGGAAAUGACGCCGAGGCUGGGGGUUCUUCUAGUGUGAACCAAGAACUAGCUCGAAGCCAGAGGGAGAGGGAUCAGGUUCUUCGAGAUUGCGCAGAGUUGCGACAAGCAUAUGCAGAUCUCGAAAAGUAUAAAAAGGUCGUUGAAAAGCAACUAGAUAGGGCUGGCAAGAAGCUUGCGGAGAAUGUGGCGACCAUCCAGAAGCUAAUCGCGGCAAAGAAAGAAAAGAUAAAGAGAUUUUUGAUCUGGAGGGAGCAGCUCGAGUUGUCAUUGACAUGGUGCAGCCUCCACAUCCUAGCGUUGUAGACUCGAGGUCCAUUUUGGAACGUUUGAGGCUAGUCCCUGGGUGGUUGAAGGGUGCGCCGAAGAAGCUAGCUCCAAAGAAGUAGUUUGAUGCAAUGACUUGCUGUGUAUACUUUGUCACGAGUUCAAUCUAGAAUGUUCAAUUACUCGUAAUGUUGUAGAACCAUACGAGUUUGAGAUCUUAAAUGAUUGUGUGCGUAUAGCAUGUCUUGAAA
Molecule: long non-coding RNA, 2482 nt
Organism: Panicum virgatum (switchgrass)
Lineage: Eukaryota; Viridiplantae; Streptophyta; Magnoliopsida; Poales; Poaceae
Exons: 6
Source: RefSeq, a predicted model, not a curated record